This 355-nucleotide transfer-messenger RNA is filed under the name uncultured Bulleidia sp. It matches the Rfam family "transfer-messenger RNA". From Rfam's summary of the family: Bacterial tmRNA, also known as 10Sa RNA or SsrA, is named for its dual tRNA and mRNA-like properties. Its role is to liberate the mRNA from a stalled ribosome. Lineage: Bacteria; Bacillati; Bacillota; Erysipelotrichia; Erysipelotrichales; Erysipelotrichaceae. The record is from RNAcentral.
GGGGCUGUCAUGGUUUCGACAGGUUUAUGUUUGAUUUGAGCUGCAGUGGAGCGGUGACCUAAUCACCAUUAAAUUUAAACGCAAAUAGAACAAAUAGUUUCGCUUUUGCUGCCUAAGAACGCUAGAGGCGUUGCAGCAAUCCAAUCAGUGCUUUAGCCAUUUGACAUUGAUUGCGUACUAAAAUGGAUACGGUGAAUUCAAAACUUGUAGGAGGAUCCCGACAAUUUAACAAGUAAAUUCAAUAACACGUUAGCUCACUGACAUUGUUAUUGUCUUAUCCAACAGUGAGAUAAACUGUAGAUGCUCAAAUGUGGGACUAUUCUUGGACAGGGGUUCGACUCCCCUCAGCUCCACU